AUUGAACGCUGGCGGCAGGCCUAACACAUGCAAGUCGAGCGGAUGAAGGGAGCUUGCUCCUGGAUUCAGCGGCGGACGGGUGAGUAAUGCCUAGGAAUCUGCCUGGUAGUGGGGGAUAACGUCCGGAAACGGGCGCUAAUACCGCAUACGUCCUGAGGGAGAAAGUGGGGGAUCUUCGGACCUCACGCUAUCAGAUGAGCCUAGGUCGGAUUAGCUAGUUGGUGGGGUAAAGGCCUACCAAGGCGACGAUCCGUAACUGGUCUGAGAGGAUGAUCAGUCACACUGGAACUGAGACACGGUCCAGACUCCUACGGGAGGCAGCAGUGGGGAAUAUUGGACAAUGGGCGAAAGCCUGAUCCAGCCAGGCCGCGUGUGUGAAGAAGGUCUUCGGAGUGUAAAGCACGUUAAGUUGGGAGGAAGGGCAGUAAGUUAAUACCUUGCUGUUUUGACGUUACCAACAGAAUAAGCACCGGCUAACUUCGUG
Molecule: ribosomal RNA, 484 nt
Filed under: uncultured bacterium
Lineage: Bacteria
Description: partial 16S ribosomal RNA
Rfam family: Bacterial small subunit ribosomal RNA
Source: RNAcentral